Mauremys reevesii (Reeves's turtle) is the source of this 387-nucleotide long non-coding RNA. RefSeq lists it as uncharacterized. The transcript is spliced from 3 exons. Lineage: Eukaryota; Metazoa; Chordata; Testudines; Geoemydidae. The record is from RefSeq and is a predicted model, not a curated record.
AGCCCUGUAGUGAACACUCAAGGUCUGCAUCUACACUACCUUACUGCUCUCACCCCAGACUCCUUCCUUCCAGACUCCUCCUCCCUUACCUCAGAGAGGAGAACUACUGGCUUCUCUUUGUUGCCAGCCUCCUGGCUUUAUAGAAACCACACCAGUUCCCUCACAGCUGUCUAGAUCACAAAGGAUAGAACCACCUUAGCUAAUGAGGAUGAAAGGCAGAAAAUAAAUCUGUCAGACCUGAUUGACUGAUCUCCUGAACUACUGUGUGACGUUGCCUCAUUACAAUGAUGACAAACAGUUGUUGUUUUGGCAUUCUAUGAUGUACCCAUACAUUUGCAAAGUUUCACAUUUAUCCUAUUUUGCAAGCGCAUCUACAUAAUUCAUUAA